CACGUAGGUAAUCUACCUUCGGGUGGGGAAUAACCCAGGAAAACUUGGGCUAACACCGCAUAAUGCAGCGGCACCACAUGGUGACAGUUGUUAAAGCGGGGGAUUUUCGGACCUCGCGCCUGAAGAGGAGCCUGCGGAGAUUAGCUAGUUGGUAAGGUAACGGUUACCAAGGCGACGAUCUGUAGCCGGCCUGAGAGGGCGGUCGGCCACACUGACACUGACAUACGGGUCAGACUCCUACGGGAGGCAGCAGUCGGGAAUUUUGGGCAAUGGGCGAAAGCCUGACCCAGCAAGCCGCGUGAAGGAUGAAAUCCCUCGGGAUGUAAACUUCGCAAGAAUGGGAAG
RNAcentral lists this ribosomal RNA (345 nucleotides) under uncultured bacterium. Its description in RNAcentral is "bacterial SSU rRNA". It matches the Rfam family "Bacterial small subunit ribosomal RNA", at positions 114 to 447 of the family's 1533-position model. The record is from RNAcentral.